This 460-nucleotide ribosomal RNA is filed under the name uncultured bacterium. RNAcentral's name for it is "partial 16S ribosomal RNA". It matches the Rfam family "Bacterial small subunit ribosomal RNA", at positions 338 to 795 of the family's 1533-position model. The record is from RNAcentral.
CCUACGGGGGGCAGCAGAGAGGAAUAUUGGUCAAUGGGCGCGAGCCUGAACCAGCCAAGUAGCGUGAAGGAUGACUGCCCUACGGGUUGUAAACUUCUUUUAUAAAGGAAUAAAGUGAGGCACGUGUGCCUUUUAGUAUGUAUUUUAUGAAUAAGGAUCGGCUAACUCCGUGCCAGCAGCCGCGGUAAUACGGAGGCUCCGGGCGUUAUCCGGGUUUCUGGGGUUUAAAGGGAGCGUAAAUGGGUUGUUAAGUCAGUUGUGAAAGUUUGCGGCUCAACCGUAAAAUUGCAAUGGAUACUGGCAGCCUUGAGUACAGUUGAGGUAGGCGGAAUUCGUGGUGUAGCGGUGAAAUGCUUAGAUAUCACGAAGAACUCCGAUUGCGAAGGCAGCCUACUAAACUGCCACUGACAUUGAUGCUCGAAAGUGUGGGUAUCAAACAGGAUUAGAUACCCGUGUAGUC